GCCAUAGUGGUGGAAUUGGUAGACACGCUAGACUCAAAAUCUGGUGAUAGCAAUAUCGUGUCGGUUCGAGUCCGACCUAUGGUA
This 84-nucleotide transfer RNA is filed under the name Thiovulum sp. ES. It matches the Rfam family "tRNA". From Rfam's summary of the family: Transfer RNA (tRNA) molecules are approximately 80 nucleotides in length. The record is from Rfam by way of RNAcentral. Lineage: Bacteria; Pseudomonadati; Campylobacterota; Epsilonproteobacteria; Campylobacterales; Sulfurimonadaceae.